GAAAUGCGAUAAGUAAUGUGAAUUGCAGAAUUCAGUGAAUCAUCGAAUCUUUGAACGCACAUUGCGCCCGCCAGCACUCUGGCGGGCAUCCCUGUUCGAGCGUCAUUUCAACCCUCAGAACCCCUUGCGGGAUCUGGCGUUGGGGAUUGGCAUCCAGCCAGCCCCGAAAUCUAGUGGCGGUCCCUCCGCGACCUCCCCUGUGCAGUAGCGAUACCUCGCAGCGGGACAGCGGUCUGACCACGCCGUAAAACCCCCAACUUCUCAAGGUUGACCUCGAAUCAGGUAGGAAUACCCGCUGAACUUAAGC
RNAcentral lists this unclassified non-coding RNA (307 nucleotides) under plant metagenome. Its description in RNAcentral is "partial contains 5.8S ribosomal RNA, internal transcribed spacer 2, and large subunit ribosomal RNA". The stretch from base 1 to 105 matches the Rfam family "5.8S ribosomal RNA", at positions 50 to 154 of the family's 154-position model. The record is from RNAcentral.